This 468-nucleotide ribosomal RNA is filed under the name uncultured bacterium. Its description in RNAcentral is "partial 16S ribosomal RNA". It matches the Rfam family "Bacterial small subunit ribosomal RNA", at positions 28 to 507 of the family's 1533-position model. The record is from RNAcentral.
GACGAACGCUGGCGGCGUGCUUAACACAUGCAAGUCGAACGGAAAGGCCCUGCUUUUGUGGGGUGCCCGAGUGGCGAACGGGUGAGUAACACGUGAGUAACCUGCCCUUGACUUUGGGAUAACUUCAGGAAACUGGGGCUACUACCGGAUAGGAGCUCCUGCUGCAUUGUGGGGGUUGGAAAGUUUCGGCGGUUGGGGAUGGACUCGCGGCUUAUCAGCUUGUUGGUGGGGUAGUGGCUUACCAAGGCUUUGACGGGUAGCCGGCCUGAGAGGGUGACCGGCCACAUGGGGACUGAGAUACGGCCCAGUGUGCAACGGGAGGCAGCAGGGGGGAAUAUUGCACAAUGGGAGGAAGCCUGAUGCAGCGGCGCCGCGUGCGUGAUGACGGCCUGCGGGUUGUAAACCGCUUUAGCCUGUGACGAAGCGGGAGUGACGGUAAUGGGUAAAGAAGCACCGGCUAACUACGUG